This 496-nucleotide ribosomal RNA is filed under the name uncultured bacterium. RNAcentral describes it as "partial 16S ribosomal RNA". It matches the Rfam family "Bacterial small subunit ribosomal RNA", at positions 29 to 507 of the family's 1533-position model. The record is from RNAcentral.
AUGAACGCUGGCGGCGUGCCUAAUCCCUGCAAGUCGAGCGAACAGACGAGGAGCUUGCUCCUCUGACGUUAGCGGCGGACGGGUGAGUAACACGUCGAUAACCUACCUAUAAGACUGGGAUAACUUCGGGAAACCGGAGCUAAUACCGGAUAAUAUAUUGAACCGCAUGGUUCAAUAGUGAAAGACGGUUUUGCUGUCACUUAUAGAUGGAUCCGCGCCGCAUUAGCUAGUUGGUAAGGUAACGGCUUACCAAGGCAACGAUGCGUAGCCGACCUGAGAGGGUGAUCGGCCACACUGGAACUGAGACACGGUCCAGACUCCUACGGGAGGCAGCAGUAGGGAAUCUUCCGCAAUGGGCGAAAGCCUGACGGAGCAACGCCGCGUGAGUGAUGAAGGUCUUCGGAUCGUAAAACUCUGUUAUUAGGGAAGAACAAAUGUGUAAGUAACUAUGCACGUCUUGACGGUACCUAAUCAGAAAGCCACGGCUAACUACGUG